RNAcentral lists this ribosomal RNA (494 nucleotides) under uncultured bacterium. RNAcentral's name for it is "bacterial SSU rRNA". It matches the Rfam family "Bacterial small subunit ribosomal RNA", at positions 903 to 1397 of the family's 1533-position model. The record is from RNAcentral.
AAAUGAAUUGACGGGGGCCCGCACAAGCAGUGGAGUAUGUGGUUUAAUUCGAAGCAACGCGAAGAACCUUACCGGGGCUUGACAUCCCGCGCCGUUUCCGGGAAACCGGAGGUUCCCUUAGGGGACGCGGAGACAGGUGGUGCAUGGUUGUCGUCAGCUCGUGUCGUGAGAUGUUGGGUUAAGUCCCGCAACGAGCGCAACCCCUGUCGUCAGUUGCCAUCAUUCAGUUGGGCACUCUGACGAGACUGCCGGUGACAAAUCGGAGGAAGGUGGGGAUGACGUCAAAUCAUCAUGCCCUUUAUGUUCCGGGCUACACACGUACUACAAUGGCCGCCACAACGGGAAGCGAAGCCGCGAGGCGGAGCGAAUCCUUCAAAAGCGGCCCCAGUUCGGAUUGCAGGCUGCAACUCGCCUGCAUGAAGUCGGAAUUGCUAGUAAUGGCAGGUCAGCAUACUGCCGUGAAUACGUUCCCGGGCCUUGUACACACCGCCCGU